This 163-nucleotide ribosomal RNA is filed under the name Neolentinus lepideus. RNAcentral describes it as "5.8S subunit ribosomal RNA". It matches the Rfam family "5.8S ribosomal RNA". Rfam says of the family: 5.8S ribosomal RNA (5.8S rRNA) is a component of the large subunit of the eukaryotic ribosome. It is transcribed by RNA polymerase I as part of the 45S precursor that also contains 18S and 28S rRNA. Lineage: Eukaryota; Fungi; Basidiomycota; Agaricomycetes; Gloeophyllales; Gloeophyllaceae. The record is from RNAcentral.
AAAACAACUUUCAACAACGGAUCUCUUGGCUCUCGCAUCGAUGAAGAACGCAGCGAAAUGCGAUAAGUAAUGUGAAUUGCAGAAUUCAGUGAAUCAUCGAAUCUUUGAACGCACCUUGCGCUCCUUGGUAUUCCGAGGAGCAUGCCUGUUUGAGUGUCAUGAA